CCUACGGGGGGCAGCAGUGAGGAAUAUUGGUCAAUGGACGCAAGUCUGAACCAGCCAUGCCGCGUGCAGGAAGACGGCUCUAUGAGUUGUAAACUUCUUUUGUACGAGGGUAAACGCAGACACGUGUAUCUGUCUGAAAGUAUCUUACGAAUAAGGAUCGGCUAACUCCGUGCCAGCAGCCGCGGUAAUACGGAGGAUUCAAGCGUUAUCCGGAUUUAUUGGGUUUAAAGGGCGCGUAGGCGGUUGGUUAAGUCAGUUGUGAAAUCCGGAGGCUCAACCUUGGAAUUGCAACUGAUACUGUUCGUCUAGAGAAUAGUUGCGGUAGGCGGAAUGUGUGGUGUAGCGGUGAAAUGCUUAGAGAUCAUAAAGAACACCGAUUGCGAAGGCAGCUUACCAAGCUACGACUGACAUUGAGGCACGAAAGCGUGGGGAGCAAACAGGAUUAGAUACCCUGGUAGUC
Molecule: ribosomal RNA, 460 nt
Filed under: uncultured bacterium
Lineage: Bacteria
Description: partial 16S ribosomal RNA
Rfam family: Bacterial small subunit ribosomal RNA
Source: RNAcentral